This 253-nucleotide ribosomal RNA is filed under the name uncultured bacterium. Its description in RNAcentral is "partial 16S ribosomal RNA". It matches the Rfam family "Bacterial small subunit ribosomal RNA", at positions 524 to 776 of the family's 1533-position model. The record is from RNAcentral.
UACGUAGGUGGCAAGCGUUACUCGGAAUCACUAGGCGUAAAGCGCAGGUAGGCGGUUCGGUAAGUCCUUUGUGAAAGCUCCCGGCUUAACUGGGAGAGGCCCAGGGAAACUACCGGGCUAGAGUGUGGUAGGGGAAACUGGAAUUCCUGGUGUAGCGGUGAAAUGCGUAGAUAUCAGGAGGAACACCUAUGGCGAAAGCAGCUCGCUGGGACGUGACUGACGCUGAGACGCGAAAGCGUGGGGAGCAAACAGG